This 2774-nucleotide ribosomal RNA is filed under the name Escherichia coli. RNAcentral describes it as "bacterial LSU rRNA". It matches the Rfam family "Bacterial large subunit ribosomal RNA". The record is from RNAcentral. Lineage: Bacteria; Pseudomonadati; Pseudomonadota; Gammaproteobacteria; Enterobacterales; Enterobacteriaceae.
AGCGUACACGGUGGAUGCCCUGGCAGUCAGAGGCGAUGAAGGACGUGCUAAUCUGCGAUAAGCGUCGGUGAGGUGAUAUGAACCGUUAUAACCGGCGAUUUCCGAAUGGGGAAACCCAGUGUGUUUCGACACACUAUCAUUAACUGAAUCCAUAGGUUAAUGAGGCGAACCGGGGGAACUGAAACAUCUAAGUACCCCGAGGAAAAGAAAUCAACCGAGAUUCCCCCAGUAGCGGCGAGCGAACGGGGAGGAGCCCAGAGCCUGAAUCAGUGUGUGUGUUAGUGGAAGCGUCUGGAAAGGCGCGCGAUACAGGGUGACAGCCCCGUACACAAAAAUGCACAUAUUGUGAGCUCGAUGAGUAGGGCGGGACACGUGGUAUCCUGUCUGAAUAUGGGGGGACCAUCCUCCAAGGCUAAAUACUCCUGACUGACCGAUAGUGAACCAGUACCGUGAGGGAAAGGCGAAAAGAACCCCGGCGAGGGGAGUGAAAAAGAACCUGAAACCGUGUACGUACAAGCAGUGGGAGCCUCUUAAUGGGGUGACUGCGUACCUUUUGUAUAAUGGGUCAGCGACUUAUAUUCUGUAGCAAGGUUAACCGAAUAGGGGAGCCGAAGGGAAACCGAGUCUUAACUGGGCGUUAAGUUGCAGGGUAUAGACCCGAAACCCGGUGAUCUAGCCAUGGGCAGGUUGAAGGUUGGGUAACACUAACUGGAGGACCGAACCGACUAAUGUUGAAAAAUUAGCGGAUGACUUGUGGCUGGGGGUGAAAGGCCAAUCAAACCGGGAGAUAGCUGGUUCUCCCCGAAAGCUAUUUAGGUAGCGCCUCGUGAAUUCAUCUCCGGGGGUAGAGCACUGUUUCGGCAAGGGGGUCAUCCCGACUUACCAACCCGAUGCAAACUGCGAAUACCGGAGAAUGUUAUCACGGGAGACACACGGCGGGUGCUAACGUCCGUCGUGAAGAGGGAAACAACCCAGACCGCCAGCUAAGGUCCCAAAGUCAUGGUUAAGUGGGAAACGAUGUGGGAAGGCCCAGACAGCCAGGAUGUUGGCUUAGAAGCAGCCAUCAUUUAAAGAAAGCGUAAUAGCUCACUGGUCGAGUCGGCCUGCGCGGAAGAUGUAACGGGGCUAAACCAUGCACCGAAGCUGCGGCAGCGACGCUUAUGCGUUGUUGGGUAGGGGAGCGUUCUGUAAGCCUGUGAAGGUGGCCUGUGAGGGUUGCUGGAGGUAUCAGAAGUGCGAAUGCUGACAUAAGUAACGAUAAAGCGGGUGAAAAGCCCGCUCGCCGGAAGACCAAGGGUUCCUGUCCAACGUUAAUCGGGGCAGGGUGAGUCGACUCCUAAGGCGAGGCCGAAAGGCGUAGUCGAUGGGAAACAGGUUAAUAUUCCUGUACUUGGUGUUACUGCGAAGGGGGGACGGAGAAGGCUAUGUUGGCCGGGCGACGGUUGUCCCGGUUUAAGCGUGUAGGCUGGUUUUCCAGGCAAAUCCGGAAAACCAAGGCUGAGGCGUGAUGACGAGGCACUACGGUGCUGAAGUGACAAAUGCCCUGCUUCCAGGAAAAGCCUCUAAGCAUCAGGUAACAUCAAAUCGUACCCCAAACCGACACAGGUGGUCAGGUAGAGAAUACCAAGGCGCUUGAGAGAACUCGGGUGAAGGAACUAGGCAAAAUGGUGCCGUAACUUCGGGAGAAGGCACGCUGAUAUGUAGGUGAAGCGACUUGCUCGUGGAGCUGAAAUCAGUCGAAGAUACCAGCUGGCUGCAACUGUUUAUUAAAAACACAGCACUGUGCAAACACGAAAGUGGACGUAUACGGUGUGACGCCUGCCCGGUGCCGGAAGGUUAAUUGAUGGGGUUAGCGGCAACGCGAAGCUCUUGAUCGAAGCCCCGGUAAACGGCGGCCGUAACUAUAACGGUCCUAAGGUAGCGAAAUUCCUUGUCGGGUAAGUUCCGACCUGCACGAAUGGCGUAAUGAUGGCCAGGCUGUCUCCACCCGAGACUCAGUGAAAUUGAACUCGCUGUGAAGAUGCAGUGUACCCGCGGCAAGACGGAAAGACCCCGUGAACCUUUACUAUAGCUUGACACUGAACAUUGAGCCUUGAUGUGUAGGAUAGGUGGGAGGCUUUGAAGUGUGGACGCCAGUCUGCAUGGAGCCGACCUUGAAAUACCACCCUUUAAUGUUUGAUGUUCUAACGUUGGCCCGUAAUCCGGGUUGCGGACAGUGUCUGGUGGGUAGUUUGACUGGGGCGGUCUCCUCCUAAAGAGUAACGGAGGAGCACGAAGGUUGGCUAAUCCUGGUCGGACAUCAGGAGGUUAGUGCAAUGGCAUAAGCCAGCUUGACUGCGAGCGUGACGGCGCGAGCAGGUGCGAAAGCAGGUCAUAGUGAUCCGGUGGUUCUGAAUGGAAGGGCCAUCGCUCAACGGAUAAAAGGUACUCCGGGGAUAACAGGCUGAUACCGCCCAAGAGUUCAUAUCGACGGCGGUGUUUGGCACCUCGAUGUCGGCUCAUCACAUCCUGGGGCUGAAGUAGGUCCCAAGGGUAUGGCUGUUCGCCAUUUAAAGUGGUACGCGAGCUGGGUUUAGAACGUCGUGAGACAGUUCGGUCCCUAUCUGCCGUGGGCGCUGGAGAACUGAGGGGGGCUGCUCCUAGUACGAGAGGACCGGAGUGGACGCAUCACUGGUGUUCGGGUUGUCAUGCCAAUGGCACUGCCCGGUAGCUAAAUGCGGAAGAGAUAAGUGCUGAAAGCAUCUAAGCACGAAACUUGCCCCGAGAUGAGUUCU